GGGUGCGUAACGCGUGGGAACCUGCCUUUAGGUUCGGAAUAACAGUUAGAAAUGACUGCUAAUACCGGAUAAUGUCUUCGGACCAAAGAUUUAUCGCCUUUAGAUGGGCCCGCGUUGGAUUAGAUAGUUGGUGGGGUAAUGGCCUACCAAGUCGACGAUCCAUAGCUGGUCUGAGAGGAUGAUCAGCCACACUGGGACUGAGACACGGCCCAGACUCCUACGGGAGGCAGCAGUGGGGAAUAUUGGACAAUGGGGGAAACCCUGAUCCAGCAAUGCCGCGUGAGUGAUGAAGGCCUUAGGGUUGUAAAGCUCUUUUACCAGGGAUGAUAAUGACAGUACCUGGAGAAUAAGCUCCGGCUAACUCCGUGCCAGCAGCCGCGGUAAUACGGAGGGAGCUAGCGUUGUUCGGAAUUACUGGGCGUAAAGCGCACGUAGGCGGCUUUUCAAGUCAGGGGUGAAAUCCCGGGGCUCAACCCCGGAACUGCCCUUGAAACUGGAUGGCUAGAAUACUGGAGAGGUGAGUGGAAUUCCGAGUGUAGAGGUGAAAUUCGUAGAUAUUCGGAAGAACACCAGUGGCGAAGGCGACUCAC
Molecule: ribosomal RNA, 590 nt
Filed under: Qipengyuania citrea
Lineage: Bacteria; Pseudomonadati; Pseudomonadota; Alphaproteobacteria; Sphingomonadales; Erythrobacteraceae
Description: bacterial SSU rRNA
Rfam family: Bacterial small subunit ribosomal RNA
Source: RNAcentral